UAUGGCAAUGAUAUCUUGUGUAGUUAAUAAAUUAAUCGCAAAGUCAGUCAGAUGUAUUAUAAUAGUUAUUAUUAAAUGAAUAAUUUGCCAUUUGUCAUCUACAAACGAAACAAGUCAAUUUCUCUCUUUUUUUUCUCUUUCAGAAUGGCGACAAAUAUGAUUUGCGCGAAAGUAGUCGCAAUGAGGAGUGCUCUGCGUGCGAAGAGCUGGAUUUAUGCAGCUGAUGGCACCUUGUCCAUGCACGGCCAGCACAAUAAUGUAACUGUUGCCCUCUGUGACGACGAGAAAGCCUAUAAAAUAGUUCUGUUUGAACACUUGGCAGCCCUCGUCACAGAGGGACACAGUUACAUUUUUUUAAACUUUGGUGUGGACGAACGGGGCCAAGGGCUCCUCACCAAACCCGGCUCAAAAAUUUUCAUGGCGGCGGAAGUGCAAACCAGCCCACAGCUGGAAGAAGAGGUCAGGGCCCUGGUCUACCCCAAGUCAGUGGCAUCAUCUCCUCAGGAGGUAGUGAAUAAACUACCUGAGGAGAUGGUGUCACUGGAUGGCGUAAUAACCGAUAUGCGUCCAAUCCGCAUGGUGCGCCAGAGAGGGAACAACCUUGCGCCAUUUCGGACUUUGACACUUAAAAAAGAUGAAGCCGCUGUCAAAAUUGGCCUUUGGCGGGAGGCUAACCUCAUUGAGUUGAAGGUAGGGGGUUCCUUCGUGUUCACCCACCUGAGUGCCCGGGUGAACGAUUCGGGAGUAAUGCUCCACUCUACGACUUUCACAGAUAUAAAGGUUAGUAAAUGGCUUCAUAGCAGUGGAAUUUAAAUGGUGCUUGCUUAUUGCUUAUUAUUCCCUUUUCCAAGAUCAACUGGGUUAAGGUUCCCAAUCUAUUUUUCCCAUUACAAACAAUGGAAAACAAAUUAAUCCGUUCCAAGACUAAAAAAAUCCCUUUUUUAAGAUU
Molecule: long non-coding RNA, 949 nt
Organism: Syngnathus acus (greater pipefish)
Lineage: Eukaryota; Metazoa; Chordata; Actinopteri; Syngnathiformes; Syngnathidae
Exons: 3
Source: RefSeq, a predicted model, not a curated record